GAUGAAGAACGUAGCGAAAUGCGAUACUUGGUGUGAAUUGCAGAAUCCCGUGAACCAUCGAGUCUUUGAACGCAAGUUGCGCCCGAAGCCAUUAGGCCGAGGGCACGCCUGCCUGGGUGUCACACAUUGUUGCCCCAAUGCCAAUCGCCUCACUUUGUAGGUAUUUGCUUGGGGUGAAUGUUGGCCUCCCGUGAGCUCUGUCUCACGGUUGGUUGAAAAUCGAGUGCAUGGUGUCGGGUGUACCAUGAUGGAUGGUGGUUGAGUGAUGCUCGAGGCCAAUCAUGGGUAACUCCACCAGAAUUGUGCUCGGUGACCCACAUCAAGUCAGGCGGGGCUACCCGCUGAGUUUAAGCAUAUCAAUAAGCGGAGGA
This 371-nucleotide unclassified non-coding RNA is filed under the name soil metagenome. RNAcentral describes it as "partial contains 5.8S ribosomal RNA, internal transcribed spacer 2, and large subunit ribosomal RNA". The stretch from base 1 to 122 matches the Rfam family "5.8S ribosomal RNA", at positions 35 to 154 of the family's 154-position model. The record is from RNAcentral.